RNAcentral lists this ribosomal RNA (250 nucleotides) under uncultured bacterium. RNAcentral's name for it is "partial 16S ribosomal RNA". It matches the Rfam family "Bacterial small subunit ribosomal RNA", at positions 89 to 339 of the family's 1533-position model. The record is from RNAcentral.
GGAUUAGUGGCGAACGGGUGAGGAACACGUGAAGAAUCUGCCCUCCACUUUGGGAUAACUCCGGGAAACCGGGGCUAAUACCGGAUGUCCUCGCCGAAGCUCAUGCUUUGGUGAGGAAAUGGAUUCCGCUUCGGGAUGGCCUCGCGGCCUAUCAGCUUGUUGGUGAGGUAACGGCUCACCAAGGCUUCGACGGGUAGCUGGUCUGAGAGGAUGUCCAGCCACACUGGGACUGAGACACGGCCCAGACUCC